AGGAUCACUGGUUCCGGGCCUCAGGCACCAUCUCCGCCCCAUAAAGAAGAGAACCAAAUUCCUGCCUUCCUGCAUAGACAACAAGAAGGCCAGGACCCUUGCACCAGGAUGGAAGCAGGAGCCUGCAGAGCAGAGCAGACACAGGGAGCUGCGUGUGGAUGCCAGCGAGGAGCCCAGCUGAGAUCUGGGGGGCUUCAGCACACUGAAAAGCAGGAGACAGCAUCCAAAGCCCAGCCUGGGCACUGAGAGGUUCACAGAAGGGACAGGCACUGGCCAUCAGGGUGCAACCUGUGAUUUCAGCCUUACGGGAGGCUGAGUCAGGGGAUAGCAAGUUUGGCUCAGGCCGGGCAGCUUAGUACCUGUGUCAGACUCUGUCUGAAAAGAAUAAAUAAAUAAAUAAAUAAAUAGGCUGUGAAUGUGAAGAUCCUACUUCAAUUCCUAGACCCAUCACCAAGAAAAAUAAAGAAGGAAAGAGGAAAGAAAGAAAAUUGUUAAGAAUUUGAAAAAUGAGAUGACUUUGGAACUAGAGACCACUAAAUGCAGGUCUGAGUUUGUAGUUAAUCCUAACACACCUGAAUAUUUACAGUUAGGACCAGGCUUCAGGGCCUGUCAGUAUCAAGGACUCACUCAUAGAAGUUACUCUGAUUCAAGAAGGGGAACAGAAGGAAUCUUGUUCUGUGUGAGAAACAAGGAAGCUGCUUUCUUCUGACAGUGUCUUCACAAGACUGAAUACCCAGGAUUUGUCAGUCACAGGGUCACUGGUUCUGGGCCUCCAGCACCAUCUCCGCCCCAUAAAGAAGAGAACCAAAUUCCUACCUUCCCGCAUAGACAACAGGAAGGAGGAAGCUGUGAAGGCCAGGGCAGCUGAGCCAGGAUGGAGGCAGGAGCCCUGCAGAGCAGAGCAGACACAGGGAGCUGUGUGUGGAUGCCAGCGAGGAGCUCAGGUUUCAGAACAAUACAACUUCAAAGGAGGCAUGUGAAAUGGAUUUAUAUUUGACUUUUAAAAGAACUCAUUCUCUGUUUCUUUGGUUUUGAAUUUCUGAACAAUGGCCAUGUCGUUUUGAAGUGUCAGCAGGCAACUCCACAGAGGGCACUGCCUCACUUAACAGACUAUAACACCACUCAGACAGCAGCCCCACCACCACCCACACAAUGAGGCUAACACAGAUAUUCUGGAGCCAGAAAGAAUUUGCAAAUUUGGCUGCUAAUUUUUUACUGUAUAGCAUUAUAGCCCAACAUUUUUGGGAUUUUGGAUUAUUUUAUGAACCAAAAAAGAUGCAAGGGGCACAAAAGCAGAAACUGUUCCAUGCAACCAUCUAAUUUGGACCCGACUCUGUGUUAAGAAGAGAUUUAACAGCCAUUAAUAUAAGGUCUUUUCAUGACUGUCUGUGGAAAGCGGUAAGGAUUCUUCUGUCUCGCCUCCUCCAGCCUCCCCAUAAAAACCAGCCUAUUAGAGGCAGGAUGUUUCAUUUCCGUGUCCCGUGUUGUUUGUCCUCUAGGUGCUGAUGGGUAUGCUAAUUUAAGUGACAAUUAUAAAUAGUACUUCCUGAGUGAAGCAGGAGGAAUAGACUUGCUAAUGUGUUCACUUGUUUGGCAAGAAAGAUGAAAGAUUACACACAGGAAAAGAAAUAAAUGUAAACAGUCACUUCACAUCUACAGAACUUUGGGUUCUUCAGUUUCUCCUCAAGGUUUGUGUUCAUUAUUCAAGAUAAUCCUCCUCUGGGUUUGUUUCUUCUGGGGUUUGCUUGAAAGAACAUUUUCAAAUGUCCCACCAUGGGUGUUUCCUUCUGGUGGGUGUUUUAUGAAAAGCAAGGUGAUGAUAUUUUAUGAUGAUAACAAUCCUGAGCAGGGAGAGUGGCCGGGGUAAGUGCUUCCCUGCUGGCUGUCACGGAGACUCAGGGCUGGUGGUGCUGUUUCCAAGAGAGUGAGCGACCCUGGGUAGAGCAAGGGGCUACAGGAAAGCAGUGGAGAGCAACAUGGAUGAAUGAUAAAGUCCCAGAAAAUCUACAAAGAGCAGCAGGACACACUUUCAAUGAUGAACUGAGAGAUGAGAAGACGGUUGAAUACCCUGUGUGUCUGGGAUAAGCGAACUCCACUUAUUAGGCACCUUGGGACCAGUAUAUGACAGAGUUCGCUGGUGGAUAACAGCUUUGGACUUCAGGGUGAACAUUAAGGAUUUGGACUAUGAACUUUCUGUCUUUUUAAAUCAGAAAAAAAGGUGAAUAAAUGAUGCUCUCAAAUCUAGUAUAGGAAGAGCCUUGUAAGAUUUGGAGACCCCACUGUACCUCAAAUUACAGUUAGGACCAGGCUUCACGGCCUGUCAGUAUCAAGGACUCACUCAUAGAAGUUACUCUGAUUCAAGAAGGGGAACAGGAGGAACCUUGUUCUGUGAGAGAAACAAGGAAGCUGCUUCCUUCUGACAGUGUCUUCACAAGACUGAUACCCAGGAUUUGUCAGUCACAGGUGAGAUUGGGGGGAUACUGUCUAGAUAAAUUAUUCAAUGCAAUGGGGAUUUAAUAUUUUAUCUCUUCUUUUCUUGAUUGUGAGCAUAUUCUAGUAGCAUAAAAUCUCUUGAAAAUAUGAUAUGAAUGGCAGCAUGUUUUUAAUUAUCAGUGGGGAGGUCCCACUUGUUUUCACCAUUAUGCCUGAUAGUGUCACAGGCAGCUGAGUUAUUUAGAAAUAUUACAGGCAGUCAGACAGUGUUGGGCCCUCAAAGGAACCAGAGCACGAAUUCAGAUAACUUGCAGCUUUGGAAGAGACAAUCACCUCCUGCUGUGGGCCAGAUCACAAGAGAAGAGGCAAAGCAAAUAUACCUACAUCCUAAAGAUUCACAGUCUGGAUAGAUCUCUCCACCUUGAGAAGCCAGGAGUCAGCAUCCCACCCCGCUACAGGAAGGGUCAGUGCUAUUCAGCAUGCCGCUUACUAUGUGACUCGCUCCCCUGUUUGCUCCUAAUUUAAUCAAUUUUAUCUGAGCAAUUAAUCUUAUUGGUUUACCACAGUUCUGUCCCACUUUAUGCCCACCUUGUGAGUUCCCAUUUUCCCAACCUUUGAACCAUCUAACCUCAUGAUUUUACCCUAUAAAAGUCCCUAGAAAAGGCAGAGUCCCUAGCAACCCACUUGGGACCCUUUCUGUCGCUCUCAGACAGUUUUCUUUCUCUCAAUAAAUAAA
This is a long non-coding RNA of Cavia porcellus (domestic guinea pig), 3169 nucleotides long. RefSeq lists it as uncharacterized. The transcript has 3 exons. The record is from RefSeq and is a predicted model, not a curated record. NCBI's taxonomy places the organism in Eukaryota, Metazoa, Chordata, Mammalia, Rodentia, Caviidae.